GACGAACGCUGGCGGCGUGCUUAACACAUGCAAGUCGAACGGAAAGGCCCUGCUUUUGUGGGGUGCUCGAGUGGCGAACGGGUGAGUAACACGUGAGUAACCUGCCCUUGACUUUGGGAUAACUUCAGGAAACUGGGGCUAAUACCGGAUAGGAGCUCCUGCUGCAUGGUGGGGGUUGGAAAGUUUCGGCGGUUGGGGAUGGACUCGCGGCUUAUCAGCUUGUUGGUGGGGUAGUGGCUUACCAAGGCUUUGACGGGUAGCCGGCCUGAGAGGGUGACCGGCCACAUUGGGCCUGGGCUACGGCCCAGACUCCUACGGGAGGCAGCGGUGGGGAAUAUUGCACAAUGGGCGGAAGCCUGAUGCAGCAACGCCGCGUGGGGGAUGACGGCCUUCGGGUUGUAAACCGCUUUCGCCUGUGACGAAGCGUGAGUGACGGUAAUGGGUAAAGAAGCACCGGCUAACUACGUG
RNAcentral lists this ribosomal RNA (468 nucleotides) under uncultured bacterium. RNAcentral describes it as "partial 16S ribosomal RNA". It matches the Rfam family "Bacterial small subunit ribosomal RNA", at positions 28 to 507 of the family's 1533-position model. The record is from RNAcentral.